RNAcentral lists this ribosomal RNA (341 nucleotides) under uncultured bacterium. RNAcentral describes it as "bacterial SSU rRNA". It matches the Rfam family "Bacterial small subunit ribosomal RNA", at positions 28 to 369 of the family's 1533-position model. The record is from RNAcentral.
GACGAACGCUGGCGGCGUGCUUAACACAUGCAAGUCGAGCGGUAAGGCCCUUUCGGGGGUACACGAGCGGCGAACGGGUGAGUAACACGUGGGUGACCUGCCCUCAGCUCUGGGAUAAGCCUGGGAAAACCGGGUCUAAUACCGGAUAUGACUCCAUGACGCAUGUUGUGGGGUGGAAAGCCUUGUGCGGCUGAGGAUGGGCCCGCGGCCUAUCAGCUUGUUGGUGGGGUGAUGGCCUACCAAGGCGACGACGGGUAGCCGGCCUGAGAGGGCGACCGGCCACACUGGGACUGAGACACGGCCCAGACUCCUACGGGAGGCAGCAGUGGGGAAUCUUGCGC